CAGAAAAAGGCAAACUUGCUGAAAAGCAAGGACGCAAAGCCGAGGAUCUAAGGCAAGGUGCAUACAUUGCUAGGAUGGCCGGGCUACC
RNAcentral lists this non-coding RNA (88 nucleotides) under Neobacillus jeddahensis. RNAcentral's name for it is "Cyclic di-GMP-I riboswitch". It matches the Rfam family "c-di-GMP-I riboswitch aptamer". From Rfam's summary of the family: GEMM was predicted in a large-scale screen for bacterial structured RNA regulatory elements. The record is from RNAcentral. Lineage: Bacteria; Bacillati; Bacillota; Bacilli; Caryophanales; Bacillaceae.